UACGGAAGGCAGCAGUGGGGAAUAUUGCACAAUGGGCGAAAGCCUGAUGCAGCUAUGCCGCGUGUAUGAAGAAGGCCUUAGGGUUGUAAAGUACUUUCAUCGGGGAGGAAAACAAAACUAAUAAUUUUAUUUCUUGACGUUACCCGAAAAAGAAGCACCGGCUAACUCCGUGCCAGCAGCCGCGGUAAUACGGAGGGUGCUAGCGUUAAUCAGAAUUACUGGGCGUAAAGAGCACGUAGGUGGUUUUUUAAGUCAGAUGUGAAAUCCCUGGGCUUAACCUAGGAACUGCAUUUUGAAACUGAAAUACUAGAGUAUCGUAGAGGGAGGUAGAAUUCUAGGUGUAGCGGUGAAAUGCGUAGAUAUCUGGAGGAAUACCUGUGGCGAAAGCGGCCUCCUAAACGAAUACUGACACUGAGGUGCGAAAAGCGUGGGGAGCAAAACAGGGAUUAGAUACC
Molecule: ribosomal RNA, 455 nt
Filed under: uncultured bacterium
Lineage: Bacteria
Description: bacterial SSU rRNA
Rfam family: Bacterial small subunit ribosomal RNA
Source: RNAcentral